Molecule: ribosomal RNA, 407 nt
Filed under: uncultured bacterium
Lineage: Bacteria
Description: partial 16S ribosomal RNA
Rfam family: Bacterial small subunit ribosomal RNA
Source: RNAcentral
GACGAACGCUGGCGGCGUGCCUAAUACAUGCAAGUAGAACGCAGUUGCGAACGGGUGAGUAACGCGUAGGUAACUGCCUCAUAGCGGGGGAUAACUAUUUCAAACGAUAGCUAAUACCGCAAACUGUGAGAUGGACCUGCGUUGUAUUAGCUAGUUGGUGCGGUAAAGGCUCACCAAGGCGACGAUACAUAGCCGACCUGAGAGGGUGGUCGGCCACCCCUGGAAUGGGACACGGCCCAAACCUCUAACGGGGGCAGCAGUAGGGGAUCUUCGCAAAUGGGCGGAAGGCUUACCGCGCCACUCCCGGUUAGUUAAAAAGGUUUUCGGAUCGUAAAGCUCUGUUGUUAGAGAAGCGGUAACUAACCAAAAAGGGACGGCUAACUACGUGCCAGCAGCCGCGGUAAUAC